AUACGGAGGGUGUAAGCGUUAAUCGGAAUUACUGGGCGUAAAGCGCGCGUAGGCGGUUUGGUAAGUCGGAUGUGAAAGCCCCGGGCUCAACCUGGGAAUUGCAUUCGAUACUGCCAGACUAGAGUAUGGUAGAGGGAAGUGGAAUUCCGGGUGUAGCGGUGAAAUGCGUAGAUAUCCGGAGGAACACCAGUGGCGAAGGCGACUUCCUGGACCAAUACUGACGCUGAGGUGCGAAAGCGUGGGGAGCAAACAGGAUUAGAAACCCUAGUAGUCC
RNAcentral lists this ribosomal RNA (274 nucleotides) under uncultured bacterium. RNAcentral describes it as "partial 16S ribosomal RNA". It matches the Rfam family "Bacterial small subunit ribosomal RNA", at positions 523 to 796 of the family's 1533-position model. The record is from RNAcentral.